GCGCCAGUAGCUCAGUGGAUAGAGCGUUUGCCUCCGGAGCAAAAGGUCGGUGGUUCGAGCCCACUCUGGCGUA
RNAcentral lists this transfer RNA (73 nucleotides) under Candidatus Chlorohelix allophototropha. RNAcentral describes it as "tRNA-Arg". It matches the Rfam family "tRNA". From Rfam's summary of the family: Transfer RNA (tRNA) molecules are approximately 80 nucleotides in length. RNAcentral also lists the same sequence under 1 other name. Lineage: Bacteria; Bacillati; Chloroflexota; Chloroflexia; Candidatus Chloroheliales; Candidatus Chloroheliaceae. The record is from RNAcentral.